This 592-nucleotide ribosomal RNA is filed under the name Morchella sp. Its description in RNAcentral is "partial large subunit ribosomal RNA". It matches the Rfam family "Eukaryotic large subunit ribosomal RNA", at positions 68 to 664 of the family's 3401-position model. Lineage: Eukaryota; Fungi; Ascomycota; Pezizomycetes; Pezizales; Morchellaceae. The record is from RNAcentral.
ACAUUUCAUGCCUCAGUACGGCGAGUGAGCGGCAAAAGCUCAAAUUUUAAAGCUGGCACCUUCGGUGUCCGCGUUGUAAUUUUGUGAGGCAUCUCCGGGUAGGGCGCCGGCCUAAGUUCCUUGGAACAGGACGUCAUAGAGGGUGAGAAUCCCGUGCUUGGCUGGCUGUCCCCGUCCAUGUGAGGUGUCUUCGACGAGUCGAGUUGUUUGGGAAUGCAGCUCAAAAUGGGUGGUAAAUUUCAUCUAAAGCUAAAUAUUGGUGGGAGACCGAUAGCGCACAAGUAGAGUGAUCGAAAGAUGAAAAGCACUUUGAAAAUAGAGUUAAAAAGUACGUGAAAUUGUUGAAAGGGAAGCGCUUGAGACCAGACUUCGGUGGGGGGUGAUCAGCUGUCCUUCUGGGCGGUGCACUUGCUCCCCUCCGGGCCAGCAUCGGUUGGGGCGGCGGGAUAAAGAUCACGGGAAUGUGGCUCCUUUCGGGGAGUGUUAUAGCCCGGGUGAAUGCCGCCAGCUCCGACCGAGGACCGCGCCUUCGGGCUAGGAUGCUUGGCAUAAUGGUCUUCAGCGACCCGUCUUGAACCCACGGGACCAGACU